This 65-nucleotide transfer RNA is filed under the name Thalassiosira minuscula. It matches the Rfam family "tRNA". Rfam says of the family: Transfer RNA (tRNA) molecules are approximately 80 nucleotides in length. Their secondary structure includes four short double-helical elements and three loops (D, anti-codon, and T loops). Further hydrogen bonds mediate the characteristic L-shaped molecular structure. tRNAs have two regions of fundamental functional importance: the anti-codon, which is responsible for specific mRNA codon recognition, and the 3' end, to which the tRNAs corresponding amino acid is attached (by aminoacyl-tRNA synthetases). tRNAs cope with the degeneracy of the genetic code in two manners: having more than one tRNA (with a specific anti-codon) for a particular amino acid; and 'wobble' base-pairing, i.e. permitting non-standard base-pairing at the 3rd anti-codon position. Lineage: Eukaryota; Bacillariophyta; Thalassiosirophyceae; Thalassiosirales; Thalassiosiraceae. The record is from RNAcentral. RNAcentral also lists the same sequence under 5 other names.
GGCGUUGUGUAAUGGUAAGACCCUUGCCUUCCAAGCAAGAGAUGCGGGUUCGAUUCCCGCCGCCC